ACUCUGUUUGCACAUCCACUCACACCUGUGGGCCUCGGGAGGUCUGUGGCUUGGGGGACUCUGUCCUCUUGCUGUGGUUCUAUGUCUUUACACACACACUGUAAUAAAGUCUCAUGGAAUGCGUGUCGCGUUUAACGCAAUACAAUACAACUUUCAGCAACGGAUCUCUUGGCUCUCUCAUCUAUGAAAAACGCAGCGAAAUGCGAUAAGUAAUGUGAAUUGCAGAAUUCAGUGAAUCAUCGAAUCUUUGAACGCACCUUGCGCCCUCUGGCUAUUCCGGAGGGCAUGCCUGUUUGGGUAUCAUGAACACCUCAACUCUCAUGGUUUGCCAUGAUGAAUUUGGACUUUGGGGGUCUUGCUGGCCUUGUGGCCGGCUCCUCUCAAAUGAAUCACCUUGCCAGUGUUUGGUGGCAUCGCAGGUGUGAUAACUAUCUACGCUUGUGGGGUCCUGCCAGGCAACCUUCACUGAGGGAGGUUCACUGGAGCUCAUAGAUGUCUCUCCUCACCGAGGACAGCCUUUUGAAUGUUUGAUCUCAAAUCAAGUAUGGACUACCCGCUGAACUGGGGCUAUCA
This 573-nucleotide ribosomal RNA is filed under the name Tomentella sp. 2 DL-2015. Its description in RNAcentral is "eukaryotic LSU rRNA". The stretch from base 149 to 303 matches the Rfam family "5.8S ribosomal RNA". Lineage: Eukaryota; Fungi; Basidiomycota; Agaricomycetes; Thelephorales; Thelephoraceae. The record is from RNAcentral.